GAUCCGUAUGCUGCGGCCUGUCAUCGUCACGCUAUGCGGUGACAUCAAUAACCACAAUCUCAAAAAGUACAACGAGCUUGUGAUGAAAGUGGUCAAUCUCAUGUAUGAGUACAAGAAAGGAAAACAUGGUCAAGAAAACGGCUGAUUUGGUGGAAGAGUCAAAACCCCCGAUGCUGCCUAUUGAAUGGGCGCUUGUCAUCGGCGGCGUGGUCGUGUUGGUCGGAGUAAUCGUUCUGAUCCUGUUUGGAGGAUAAAUGGACACAUACAAUCAAGGCAAAAUG
RNAcentral lists this unclassified non-coding RNA (281 nucleotides) under uncultured fungus. Its description in RNAcentral is "sequence contains ITS1". The record is from RNAcentral. Lineage: Eukaryota; Fungi.